AGCUUGCCAAUGAUGUCACAAAAUGUCUGAACAAAUGAGAUCACAGUGAUAUUAAGAUUUUUACUGAGGCAAGCU
Coregonus clupeaformis (lake whitefish) is the source of this 75-nucleotide small nucleolar RNA. RefSeq annotates it as small nucleolar RNA SNORD72. The record is from RefSeq and is a predicted model, not a curated record. NCBI's taxonomy places the organism in Eukaryota, Metazoa, Chordata, Actinopteri, Salmoniformes, Salmonidae. The transcript has a single exon.